Molecule: non-coding RNA, 805 nt
Organism: Kogia breviceps (pygmy sperm whale)
Lineage: Eukaryota; Metazoa; Chordata; Mammalia; Artiodactyla; Physeteridae
Source: RefSeq, a predicted model, not a curated record
UGUAGCCCCCCCCCACCUUCGUACAGAUAGACUGUGCACUGUUGAAUGACACAUCUCUGCCUGUGGCCUUUUGCAAGUUUCUCUGAGCUCUUCAACCUUUUGUUGGAAUGUCAAACAGAACUCAGUGCAGUUUGUUGAAGUAGCCUUUUAAAAAGGUCUGCUUGUGUACACUGUCAGUCUCAUGACCCAACGCCCUUCAUUCAUCCUCCUUUCUAGAUGGGAACAGUGGGAGAUGUGGUGAUAGGAAAUUACACUUAGUGAUCUUGGGCAAGUCACUUAGUUUCGGCUUUGGUUUCCUCAGCUUUAAAAUUAGGAGUAGUUUAGAUUAUUUAAUUUUUAAAAAAUUUAUGGGGACUUCCCUGGUGGCGCAGUGGUUAAGAAUCUGCCUGCCAAAGCAGGGGACAUGGGUUCGAGCCCUGGUCCAGGAAGAUCCCACAUGCCACCGAGCAACUAAGCCCGUGCGCCACAACUACUGAGCCUGCGCGCCACAGCUACUGAGCCCAUGUGCCACAACUACUGAAGCCCGCGCACCUAGAGCCCGUGCUCCGCAACAAGAGAAGCCACCGCAAUGAGAAGCCCGUGUACCGCAACUAAGAGUAGCCCCAGCUCGCCACAACUAAAAAAAGCCUGUGCGCAGCAAUGAAGACCCAACACAGCCAAAUAAAUAAAUACAUAAAUUUUUUAAAAAUUUAUGAAAUACAGGAAAAAUGCAGAAAAUAAUAUAGUAGACAGUACUCAGAUUUAACUUACAUUUAUGUUUGACCACAUUAGGUGAUCUUUAAAGGUCCUUUAAAAGAAAAGAUUU